RNAcentral lists this ribosomal RNA (511 nucleotides) under uncultured delta proteobacterium. Its description in RNAcentral is "bacterial SSU rRNA". It matches the Rfam family "Bacterial small subunit ribosomal RNA", at positions 1 to 490 of the family's 1533-position model. The record is from RNAcentral. Lineage: Bacteria; Deltaproteobacteria.
GAUAGAGUUUGAUCCUGGCUCAGAACGAACGCUGGCGGCGUGCUUAACACAUGCAAGUCGAACGCGAACGAUUUUCUUCGGAGAAUCUAGUAGAGUGGCGCACGGGUGAGUAACGCGUAAAUAAUCUACCCCUGCAUUCGGGAUAACCCACCGAAAGGUGUGCUAAUACCGGAUACGUUCUUUUUAUCGCGAGAUAUUAAGAAGAAAGGUGGCCUCUGAUAUAAGCUACUGUGCAGGGAGGAGUUUGCGUACCAUUAGCUAGUUGGUAGGGUAAUGGCCUACCAAGGCAACGAUGGUUAGCGGGUCUGAGAGGAUGAUCCGCCACACUGGAACUGGAACACGGACCAGACUCCUACGGGAGGCAGCAGUGAGGAAUAUUGCGCAAUGGGGGCAACCCUGACGCAGCGACGCCGCGUGGAUGAUGAAGGCCUUCGGGUCGUAAAAUCCUGUCAGAUGGAAAGAAAUGUAUAUGUAUUAAUACUAUGUAUGCNGGACGGACCAUCAAAGGAAG